GUUUGAUACAUGGCUCAGAUUGAACGCUGGCGGCAUGCUUUACACAUGCAAGUCGAACGGUAACAGGGAGCUUGCUCCGCUGACGAGUGGCGAACGGGUGAGUAAUAUAUCGGAACGUACCCAAGAGUGGGGGAUAACGUAGCGAAAGUUACGCUAAUACCGCAUACGAUCUAUGGAUGAAAGCAGGGGACCUUCGGGCCUUGUGCUCCUGGAGCGGCCGAUAUCUGAUUAGCUAGUUGGUGAGGUAAAGGCUCACCAAGGCGACGAUCAGUAGCUGGUCUGAGAGGACGACCAGCCACACUGGAACUGAGACACGGUCCAGACUCCUACGGGAGGCAGCAGUGGGGAAUUUUGGACAAUGGGCGCAAGCCUGAUCCAGCAAUGCCGCGUGAGUGAAGAAGGCCUUCGGGUUGUAAAGCUCUUUUGUCAGGGAAGAAACGGCUGUGGCUAAUAUCCACGGCUAAUGACGGUACCUGAAGAAUAAGCACCGGCUAACUACGUGCCAGCAGCCGCGGUAAUACGUAGGGUGCAAGCGUUAAUCGGAAUUACUGGGCGUAAAGCGUGCGCAGGCGGUUUUGUAAGUCUGUCGUGAAAUCCCCGGGCUCAACCUGGGAAUUGCGAUGGAGACUGCAAGCUAGAAUCUGGCAGAGGGGGGGUAGAAUUCCACGUGUAGCAGUGAAAUGCGUAGAGAUGUGGAGNAACACNGAUGGCGAAGNNNNCCCNUGGGUCAAGAUUGACGCUCAUGCACGAAAGCGUGGGAGCAAACAGGAUUAGAUACCCUGGUAGUCCACGCCCUAAACGAUGUCUACUAGUUGUCGGGUUUUAAUUAACUUGGUAACGCAGCUAACGCGUGAAGUAGACCGCCUGGGGAGUACGGUCGCAAGAUUAAAACUCAAAGGAAUUGACGGGGACCCGCACAAGCGGUGGAUGAUGUGGAUUAAUUCGAUGCAACGCGAAAAACCUUACCUACCCUUGACAUGUCAGGAAGACCGGAGAGAUCUGGUUGUGCCCGAAAGGGAACCUGAACACAGGUGCUGCAUGGCUGUCGUCAGCUCGUGUCGUGAGAUGUUGGGUUAAGUCCCGCAACGAGCGCAACCCUUGUCAUUAGUUGCUACGCAAGAGCACUCUAAUGAGACUGCCGGUGACAAACCGGAGGAAGGUGGGGAUGACGUCAAGUCCUCAUGGCCCUUAUGGGUAGGGCUUCACACGUCAUACAAUGGUACAUACAGAGGGCCGCCAACCCGCGAGGGGGAGCUAAUCCCAGAAAGUGUAUCGUAGUCCGGAUCGUAGUCUGCAACUCGACUACGUGAAGUUGGAAUCGCUAGUAAUCGCGGAUCAGCAUGCCGCGGUGAAUACGUUCCCGGGUCUUGUACACACCGCCCGUCACACCAUGGGAGCGGGUUUUACCAGAAGUAGGCAGCUUAACCGCAAGGAGG
This 1436-nucleotide ribosomal RNA is filed under the name uncultured Massilia sp. RNAcentral describes it as "bacterial SSU rRNA". It matches the Rfam family "Bacterial small subunit ribosomal RNA". Lineage: Bacteria; Pseudomonadati; Pseudomonadota; Betaproteobacteria; Burkholderiales; Oxalobacteraceae. The record is from RNAcentral.